This 498-nucleotide unclassified non-coding RNA is filed under the name Melitaea cinxia (Glanville fritillary). RNAcentral's name for it is "misc RNA ENSMCXG00005000718.1". The record is from RNAcentral. Lineage: Eukaryota; Metazoa; Arthropoda; Insecta; Lepidoptera; Nymphalidae.
GGUUCCAUAGUGAAAUCAUUCAGAAAUGGUGUGUACUACACGCCCUUAACGGAUCUAGGUCGACUUUUCCUGUAACCCUGUAUAUAUAUAUAUAUAUAUAUGUAAAGAAAAAAUAUUAUUUUCUUUACUUUAAAUAUUCCCUAUAUUUAUAAUUUAUAUAGACAACAUAGGAAACCUUUUUUAUUCGGUUUGUUAUAUCUGGUUGAUAGAUAAGAUUGUCUAGCUGUCACGACGAAACAAUUAUUGAUUAAUAUUUAAAAGAUAGUUAUUUAAGAAAUUAUUUGUGAUUUUGGAUUCGACACUGGAAUUAAUAACAUUAAAUGUCGUUUCUUUUAUUACAGAGAAACUCAAUUGUGUUUUAAUUGAUUGUGUCGUCUAAAUCACAAGAAAAUUUUAUCUUACAAAACGACAUUUCUUGUCAAAAAAAAAAAUAAAAAAAUGGAAAAGCUGAAAUUUUCAUUUCAAGUAAAACCAACGCCAGACGGAAAGUCAAACUAU